CGAUGAGUUAAGGCCUUAAGGGUCAGCUCUCAGUCACCCUGCUUGGAUCCUCACAAUCGUUUACUAGAGGACGAUUGAAGUGCACCGGAGCUUCUUCUUCAUCAUUUGCAUUCGCCGACGAUCACAAAACUCACGAUCCGACACCGAGUCAUAAUCGUCGUUGUCCGGCGACCGCGAAUCCGAAGACGAUUCUUCUUCCUCGAGGAAGCUGUGGACUGACAAGGCGAGACGUCGUCACCGGAUUGCUCAUUCCCGCUGCUGACGUAGCUCUCCUGUCCGACGAGCCGAGCCUUGACCCUUGUCGUUCGGCGGGUA
Molecule: long non-coding RNA, 315 nt
Filed under: Rosa chinensis
Lineage: Eukaryota; Viridiplantae; Streptophyta; Magnoliopsida; Rosales; Rosaceae
Description: sRNA RchiOBHm_Chr2g0154311
Source: RNAcentral